CAGUGCUGAAGUCGUCUAUACUAGUAAACGAAAAUUAUGAUAUUUUAAAGUCAGUGUAUUUCUAAACACCAGAACUGCAAUAAUAUUCUCAACGUGCGUUUCAUCAAACAAGUUGGCAUCUUCAUGUGAAAUAGGCUGCUUCAUAUCCUGCAGGCGCCAACUUGAUUGGUGAAACGCACGUCAGGAAGAGUGUUGCAUUUCCGAGGUUUGGAAGCAGUGCUUGUUUUGGAUUUAUAAAUGAAACGUUCAAAAUCAAAGAGCCACUUUCAACAAAUAACUAUAAUUUUGCUGAAAAUAUUAACUGACAGCUGCAUAACCAAGAAAUUCAAAAUUCUUGAGCCUGAAAAGGUUAACUGAUAUUUCUCAUCACAGAUGUGGUGGAAGGUCAUCUUCGUUUCAUUCAGGAUUGGAGUCCAGCUCCCUUACCCUUUUGGCUGAUUAAUUUCAUAUGUCAUAUUCAAUUGACCUUAUUAAGUGAUGCGACCCCAUGGUUGCCAACUGAGGAAAAAUAAUAACAUUUGACAUUUGCUAAUGAAUAAAUAACCUAUCUUUCUGAGUUA
Long non-coding RNA from Leptinotarsa decemlineata (Colorado potato beetle), 560 nucleotides. NCBI's taxonomy places the organism in Eukaryota, Metazoa, Arthropoda, Insecta, Coleoptera, Chrysomelidae. The record is from RefSeq and is a predicted model, not a curated record.